GGGGAGGCAGCAGUGAGGAAUCUUGCGCAAUGGGCGAAAGCCUGACGCAGCGACGCCGCGUGACCGAUGAAGUCCUUCGGGAUGUAAAGGUCUUUUGCAGGGGAAGAAGGAUGUGACGGUACCCUGCGAAUAAGCUCCGGCUAACUACGUGCCAGCAGCCGCGGUAAUACGUAGGGAGCGAGCGUUGUCCGAAUUCACUGGGCGUAAAGCGCGUGUAGGCGGACUUUUAAGUUGGGGGUGAAAUUCCGAGGCUCAACCUCGGAACUGCCCCCAAAACUGGAAGUCUUGAGGUUUGGAGAGGGAAGUGGAAUUCCAGGUGUAGCGGUGAAAUGCGUAGAUAUCUGGAGGAACACCUGUGGCGAAGGCGGCUUCCUGGCCAUAUCCUGACGCUGAGGUGCGAAAGCUAGGGGAGCGAACGGGAUUAGAUACCCUGGUAGG
RNAcentral lists this ribosomal RNA (438 nucleotides) under uncultured bacterium. Its description in RNAcentral is "bacterial SSU rRNA". It matches the Rfam family "Bacterial small subunit ribosomal RNA", at positions 342 to 794 of the family's 1533-position model. The record is from RNAcentral.